UACGUAGGGUGCGAGCGUUGUUCGGAAUUACUGGGCGUAAAGGGCGCGUAGGCGGCCGUUUAAGUUAGGUGUGAAAGUCCUGGGCUUAACCUGGGGACUGCACUUGAUACUGGAUGGCUUGAAUUCGGGAGAGGAUAGCGGAAUUCCCAGUGUAGAGGUGAAAUUCGUAGAUAUUGGGAAGAACACCGGUGGCGAAGGCGGCUAUCUGGACCGACAUUGACGCUGAGGCGCGAAAGCGUGGGGAGCAAAC
Molecule: ribosomal RNA, 250 nt
Filed under: uncultured bacterium
Lineage: Bacteria
Description: partial 16S ribosomal RNA
Rfam family: Bacterial small subunit ribosomal RNA
Source: RNAcentral